GCUCAUUUAUUAUUCUUAAAAAUCUUUUAAAUUAUAUUUAUGUAUUUGUGUGUGUGUGAGAGUGUGCACACAUAAACACAAACACAGACACAUAGA
Molecule: microRNA precursor, 96 nt
Filed under: Microtus ochrogaster (prairie vole)
Lineage: Eukaryota; Metazoa; Chordata; Mammalia; Rodentia; Cricetidae
Description: miRNA (ENSMOCG00000010345.1)
Source: RNAcentral